This 270-nucleotide long non-coding RNA is filed under the name Lathyrus oleraceus (garden pea). RNAcentral's name for it is "Pisum sativum (pea) long non-coding RNA (PSAT_LNC005821)". Lineage: Eukaryota; Viridiplantae; Streptophyta; Magnoliopsida; Fabales; Fabaceae. The record is from RNAcentral.
GAUUAUUGGGUCUUCAAAGGGCAUCUUAUGACCCAAAAGUUACAAGUCAGAGUGGCUUUCAUGUGAAAAGAUUAUUGAGAGUUUGAAACAGUGUCGAGUCUUGUGGGUGUGUGUAAGGAGUGCAACUGCACAAAACCUUCAAUUUUAAAAGGUCUCAACUUUGAUAGAUGUGUUUAAUAUAAAUGAUACAGUAAAUCUUAUAUAAACAGAUUACAAAAAUAGUUGUAUGUUUUAGAUUGACGUUUUGGAUAUUAAGAGCACGUGAGUUUG